Molecule: long non-coding RNA, 442 nt
Organism: Sapajus apella (tufted capuchin)
Lineage: Eukaryota; Metazoa; Chordata; Mammalia; Primates; Cebidae
Exons: 4
Source: RefSeq, a predicted model, not a curated record
GGGCUCCCAAAACUGCUCUGGCCCCCUCUUGGUUCCUGGAGUCUGGCAUGCUUCCUUCUACCACCAGGCCUUUGCACAUGCUGCUGUCUUCUAGGAAUGCCUUGCCUUUCUUCAUUACUUAGUUCCCCUCUACUCAUCUUUCAGGUGCCAGCUUGACUGUCUUCCUUGGGGGAGCUUCUCUGACAUUGGUACACCAGAUCAACCCCCAUGUGCAGACUUUGUCUCAUUGAAUCCUUUCCCAGAGUCCAGUGCUCCUUCCUGUCCAGGAUCACCUUCUGGUGGAUCACAGGGUUGAUCAUCCGGGGCUACCACCAGCCCCUGGAGAGCAGUGGCCUCUGGUCCUUAAACAAGGAGGACAUGUUGGAACAAGUCAUGCCUGUUUUGGUAAAGAACUGGAAGAAGAAAUGCACCAAGUCCAGGUAGUAAGUGUGUUUCCUCAUCC